GACGAACGCUGGCGGCGGGCUUAACACAUGCCAGUCGAACGGCAACGUCCUGCUUGUGUGGUGUGCUCGAGUGGCGACCGGGUGAGUAACACGAAAGUAUCCUGCCCUUGACGUUGGGAUAACUUCAGGAAACUGGGGCUAAUACCAGAUAGGAGCUCCUGAUGCCUGGUGGGGGUUGGAAAUUUUCGGCGGUUGGGGAUGUACUCGCGGCUUAUCAGCUUGUUGGUGGGGUAGUGGCUUACUAAGGCUUUGGCGGGUAGCCGGCCUGAGAGGGUGACCGGGCAACUUGGGAAUGAGAUACGGCACAGACUCCUACGGGAGGCAGCAGUGGGGAAUAUUGCACAAUGGGCGGAAGUCGGAUGAAGCAACGCCGCGUGCGGGAUGAUGGACUUCGGGUUGUAAACCGCUUUGGCCGGUGACGAAGCGUGAGUGACGGUAAUGGGUAAAGAAGCACCGGCUAACUACGUG
Molecule: ribosomal RNA, 468 nt
Filed under: uncultured bacterium
Lineage: Bacteria
Description: partial 16S ribosomal RNA
Rfam family: Bacterial small subunit ribosomal RNA
Source: RNAcentral